RNAcentral lists this ribosomal RNA (83 nucleotides) under Nanocnide japonica. RNAcentral describes it as "partial 28S ribosomal RNA". Lineage: Eukaryota; Viridiplantae; Streptophyta; Magnoliopsida; Rosales; Urticaceae. The record is from RNAcentral.
CUCUAUGAGAAGCGAAGCCCACAACGCGACCCCAGGUCAGGCGGGGCUACCCGCUGAGUUUAAGCAUAUCAAUAAGCGGAGGA